This 253-nucleotide ribosomal RNA is filed under the name uncultured bacterium. RNAcentral's name for it is "partial 16S ribosomal RNA". It matches the Rfam family "Bacterial small subunit ribosomal RNA", at positions 524 to 776 of the family's 1533-position model. The record is from RNAcentral.
UACGAAGGGGGCUAGCGUUGCUCGGAAUCACUGGGCGUAAGGGGUGCGUAGGCGGGUCUUUAAGUCAGGGGUGAAAUCCUGGAGCUCAACUCCAGAACUGCCUUUGAUACUGAAGAUCUUGAGUUCGGGAGAGGUGAGUGGAACUGCGAGUGUAGAGGUGAAAUUCGUAGAUAUUCGCAAGAACACCAAUAGCGAAGGCAGCUCGCUGGGACGUUACUGACACUGAGGCGCGAAAGCGUGGGGAGCGAACAGG